GACGAACGCUGGCGGCGUGCCUGACACAUGCAAGUCGGACGGUUCUUGCACCUUCAAGCUUGCUUGCUGGUGCAAGGAUAGUGGCGGACGGGUGAGUAACGCGUGAACAUCUACCCAUUGGAGGGGGACAACCCGUCGAAAGGCGGGCUAAUACCGCGUAAGCCGCGAGGUGAGAGGCUGCCUAUUGGUGGCCGCCGAUGGAUGGGUUCGCGUCCUAUCAGCUGGUUGGUGGGGUAACGGCCUACCAAGGCGAAGACGGGUAGCCGGUCUGAGAGGAUGGCCGGCCACACUGGAACUGAGACACGGUCCAGACUCCUACGGGAGGCAGCAGUGGGGAAUAUUGGGCAAUGGGGGUAACCCUGACCCAGCGACGCCGCGUGAGGGACGAAGGUUUUCGGAUCGUAAACCUCUGUUGUACGGGAAGAAGGAAUUGACGGUACCGUACGAGAAAGCCCCGGCAAACUACGUGCCAGCAUCCGCGGUAAACUAGUCUACG
RNAcentral lists this ribosomal RNA (496 nucleotides) under uncultured bacterium. RNAcentral's name for it is "bacterial SSU rRNA". It matches the Rfam family "Bacterial small subunit ribosomal RNA", at positions 28 to 531 of the family's 1533-position model. The record is from RNAcentral.